AAUAAGUAUAAUUUUACAUUGUUCAUGUCCAACGAUCAUCUUAUUUGAAAAUUUUUAUGAUUAGUAUUUUUAUUGUUAUUCGAUGAUAAAACAUGAAUAAUACUUUAUGUGUAACUAAUUUUUUAAUUUUUUUUAUAAAUUUUUGAAAUGAAACGAACGAUAAAACAUUAGACACGGAUACCACGACUGCAUUUAUU
Molecule: microRNA precursor, 197 nt
Filed under: Oryza rufipogon (brownbeard rice)
Lineage: Eukaryota; Viridiplantae; Streptophyta; Magnoliopsida; Poales; Poaceae
Description: MIR812 microRNA precursor family
Rfam family: MIR812 microRNA precursor family
Source: Rfam by way of RNAcentral